AUUGAACGCUGGCGGCAGGCUUAACACAUGCAAGUCGAGCGGGGAUAGGGUGCUUGCACCUGAUUCCUAGCGGCGGACGGGUGAGUAAUGCUUAGGAAUCUGCCUAUUAGUGGGGGACAACGUUCCGAAAGGGGCGCUAAUACCGCAUACGUCCUACGGGAGAAAGCAGGGGAUCUUCGGACCUUGCGCUAAUAGAUGAGCCUAAGUCGGAUUAGCUAGUUGGUGGGGUAAAGGCCUACCAAGGCGACGAUCUGUAGCGGGUCUGAGAGGAUGAUCCGCCACACUGGGACUGAGACACGGGCCCAGACUCCUACGGGAGGCAGCAGUGGGGAAUAUUGGACAAUGGGGGGAACCCUGAUCCAGCCAUGCCGCGUGUGUGAAGAAGGCCUUUUGGUUGUAAAGCACUUUAAGCGAGGAGGAGGCUUACCUGGUUAAUACCUGGGAUAAGUGGACGUUACUCGCAGAAUAAGCACCGGCUAACUCUGUGCCAGCGCCGC
This 497-nucleotide ribosomal RNA is filed under the name uncultured bacterium. Its description in RNAcentral is "bacterial SSU rRNA". It matches the Rfam family "Bacterial small subunit ribosomal RNA", at positions 30 to 518 of the family's 1533-position model. The record is from RNAcentral.